GACGAACGCUGGCGGCAUGCCUAACACAUGCAAGUCGAACGGUAAGGCUUCCUUCGGGAAGUACACGAGUGGCGAACGGGUGAGUAACACGUGGGUAACCUACCCUUGACUGGGGGAUAACCGAGGGAAACUUCGGCUAGUACCGCAUAACGUGCAUUGCCUCAAGGUGGUGUACCAAAGCUCCGGCGGUUAAGGAUGGGCCCGCGGCAGAUUAGCUUGUUGGUGAGGUAACGGCUUACCAAGGCGACAAUCUGUAGCUGGUCUGAGAGGACGAUCAGCCACACUGGAACUGAGACACGGUCCAGACUCCUACGGGAGGCAGCAGUGGGGUAUCUUGCGCAAUGGGCGAAAGCCUGACGCAGCAAUGCCGCGUGAGGGAAGACGGCCUUAGGGUUGUAAACCUCUUUCAGCAGGGACGAACACAGACGGUACCUGCAGAAGAAGCCCCGGCCAACUACGUGCCAGCCGCCGCGGUAA
This 477-nucleotide ribosomal RNA is filed under the name uncultured bacterium. RNAcentral's name for it is "partial 16S ribosomal RNA". It matches the Rfam family "Bacterial small subunit ribosomal RNA", at positions 28 to 523 of the family's 1533-position model. The record is from RNAcentral.